This 469-nucleotide ribosomal RNA is filed under the name uncultured bacterium. RNAcentral's name for it is "bacterial SSU rRNA". It matches the Rfam family "Bacterial small subunit ribosomal RNA", at positions 55 to 527 of the family's 1533-position model. The record is from RNAcentral.
AUGCAGUCGAGCGGAACGAUCUCUUCGGAGAGGCGUCGAGCGGCGGACGGGUGAGUAACGCGUAGGAAUCUACCUAGUAGUGGGGGAUAGCCCGAGGAAACUCGGAUUAAUACCGCAUACGCUCUACGGAGGAAAGUGGGCUUCGGCUCACGCUAUUGGAUGAGCCUGCGUGGGAUUAGCUAGUUGGUGAGGUAAAGGCUCACCAAGGCGACGAUCUCUAGCUGGUCUGAGAGGAUGAUCAGCCACACUGGGACUGAGACACGGCCCAGACUCCUACGGGAGGCAGCAGUGGGGAAUAUUGCACAAUGGGCGCAAGCCUGAUGCAGCCAUGCCGCGUGUGUGAAGAAGGCCUUCGGGUUGUAAAGCACUUUCAGUGGUGAGGAAGGAGUGGUAGUUAAUACCUGCCACUAUUGACGUUAGCCACAGAAGAAGCACCGGCUAACUCCGUGCCAGCAGCCGCGGUAAUACG